CUUUAAAAUAUAUUUAUUCUAAAAGGAAAUAAAUAACAAUAUAAAGUACAUUUGUUACCUAAUUUUUGAAUUUUUAUUUAUAACAAUUUUUUAGUUAUUGAUGGUCAAAUUGUAUAAUGAUAAAAAAAAAUUCUGAAGGGUCCAACAAUUUUGUAUGCUUCUCCCCUUGAUACUUAAAAAUGUGAUUAUUUAAAUAAAAAACACCAUAAAAAAUAAUAAUAAUAAAAUACAGGUAAUAAAAAUAAGUAAUAUAUUUUAAGCUUUUAUUUAAAUCAGGGCAUUGUAAUCAAUAAUUAUCAAAGUGAGAAAUACCAUUUUGUUACCUUAACAUAAGUAAAUAAUAUUUAAUAAUUUAAAAUAUGAAUCUAGUCAUUUAUUGUUUAAAAUAUUGCAGUUAAAUUAUAAGCUAUAUAAAUACGUAAUUUGAAAAAAAAGUUUUACCCCAAAUAAAUAAUACAUUACAUAUUU
Non-coding RNA from Cinara cedri, 468 nucleotides. The record is from the annotation of a GenBank genome assembly. NCBI's taxonomy places the organism in Eukaryota, Metazoa, Arthropoda, Insecta, Hemiptera, Aphididae.